RNAcentral lists this transfer RNA (89 nucleotides) under Schizophyllum commune Loenen D. Its description in RNAcentral is "tRNA-Lys". It matches the Rfam family "tRNA". Rfam says of the family: Transfer RNA (tRNA) molecules are approximately 80 nucleotides in length. Their secondary structure includes four short double-helical elements and three loops (D, anti-codon, and T loops). The record is from RNAcentral. Lineage: Eukaryota; Fungi; Basidiomycota; Agaricomycetes; Agaricales; Schizophyllaceae.
GCCCGCCUAGCUCAAUCGGAUAGAGCGUCAGACUCUUAUCUGCUCAGGCGGGAAUCUGAAGGCUGCGAGUUCGACCCUCGCGGUGGGCU